RNAcentral lists this ribosomal RNA (906 nucleotides) under uncultured bacterium. RNAcentral's name for it is "SSU rRNA". It matches the Rfam family "Bacterial small subunit ribosomal RNA", at positions 24 to 905 of the family's 1533-position model. The record is from RNAcentral.
UCAGAACUAACGCUUGUGGUGUGUCUUAGUCAUGCAAGUCGAACGAGAAAGUCGCCUUCGGGUGGCGAGUAAAGUGGCAAACGGGUGAGUAACACGUGGGCAAUUUGCCCCCGGGUUGGGGAUAACAUUUCUAACGAAGUGCUAAUACCGAAUGACAAGGCGAGUUUAUGACUCGUUUUUAAAGGUGGCCUCUACUUGUAAGCUGCCGCCUGGGGAUGAGCCCGCGUCGUAUUAGCUUGUUGGUAGGGUAACGGCCUACCAAGGCGACGAUGCGUAGCCGGCCUGAGAGGGUGAACGGCCACACUGGAACUGAGACAAGGUCCAGUCUCCUACGGGAGCCAGCAGUCUAGAAAUUUGCACAAUCGCCGAAAGGCGGAUGCAGCGACACCACGUGGAGGAUGAAGCCGUUCGCGGUGUAAACUCCUGUCAGGAGGGAAGAAGGUGCGGAUGUUAAUACCACCCGCUACUUGACGGUACCUCCAGAGGAAGCUCCGGCUAACUACGUGCCAGCAGCCGCGGUAAUACGUAGGGAGCGAGCGUUGUUCGGAUUUACUGGGCGUAAAGAGCACGUAGGCGGGUAUGCAAGUCGGUUGUGAAAUCCUCUGGCUCAACCAGAGAACUGCAAUCGAAACUGCAUACCUUGAGUCCAACAGAGGGAAUCGGAAUCCAAGGUGUAGCGGUGAAAUGCGUAGAUAUCUUGGAGAACAUCAGUGGCGAAGGCGGAUUCCUGGGUUGGUACUGACGCUGAGGUGCGAAAGCUAAGGUAGCGAACAGGAUUAGAUACCCUGGUAGUCUUAGCCGUAAACGAUGGGUACUAGGCGUUGGGGGACAUUGACCCCCUCAGUGCCGUAGCUAACGCAUUAAGUACCCCGCCUGGGGAGUACGGCCGCAAGGCUGAAACUCNAG